GAAUCUUCCGCAAUGGACGCAAGUCUGACGGAGCAACGCCGCGUGAGUGACGAAGGUUUUCGGAUCGUAAAGCUCUGUUGCCAGGGAAGAACGCUAAGGAGAGUAACUGCUCUUUAGGUGACGGUACCUGAGAAGAAAGCCCCGGCUAACUACGUGCCAGCAGCCGCGGUAAUACGUAGGGGGCAAGCGUUGUCCGGAAUUAUUGGGCGUAAAGCGCGCGCAGGCGGCGAUGUAAGUCUGGUGUUUAAGCCCAGGGCUCAACCCUGGUUCGCACUAGAAACUGCAUGGCUUGAGUGUAGGAGAGGAAAGUGGAAUUCCACGUGUAGCGGUGAAAUGCGUAGAGAUGUGGAGGAACACCAGUGGCGAAGGCGACUUUCUGGCCUAUAACUGACGCUGAGGCGCGAAAGCGUGGGGAGCAAACAG
This 423-nucleotide ribosomal RNA is filed under the name uncultured bacterium. Its description in RNAcentral is "bacterial SSU rRNA". It matches the Rfam family "Bacterial small subunit ribosomal RNA", at positions 359 to 775 of the family's 1533-position model. The record is from RNAcentral.